ACAGAGCGGAAACAGGCAGAAAGUGCUGGGAGUCGGCGACCCCUCUGCGGGCCGGGUUGGGGGGCCGGGAACCGCCAAGGACUGGCGUCUCUGCUUUGGGCUGGGCAGGGCUCCUCCAGCUCCGGCAAGCUCACCUGAAAGCCAGAUCUGCCCCGCUGCUGCCUGCGCCAACCACUGUCCUGGCUAGGCAAAAACGAAGCCCCCCAUCCAGGCUCCACUGCCUUUGUUCCUUCUAAAGGGUUUCACAGCCAGUGCGCUUCAGGAGGGAAUGUGAGGGAGCUAGCUCUCUAAAAGCUUGGGUCUACCUCCCCUGGCUUAGUGAAAGCCACUCUGAGUGCUUCCCUCUUUCCUUCGCCGCCUGGUGGAAUGAGAUGAAGGGGCUCUAACUGAGGCAGGGAACAGGACUUUGUGGCACCUGUGCAUUCGGCCCAUAGAAGGGAGAAACAGCGGUGUCUGGUACCCCAGGAGCAGAGAGAGGUCCUGGAAGCCCUUGUGCAAGAGGCGGGGAGGAGCCAUGACCAGUGCAAAACCACCAACUCCCGCAAAUGUGAGGCAAAUAUAUACCCGGGAGGAGGGGUAGACCAGCUUCUUCAUUCUCCCUCCAAUCCUUUCCAGUCACUGUGGCUUCGGGGUUUGAUAGGACCUCUGGGCUUUGAGCUUUCUCCCACCCCUCUUCCCCCUCGGGGGCCCUUGCAUACCUAACAAGGUCCGCAGAGAGGCCACCCAGGAGGAGGAACCCUGGCGAGGAUAGAGGCCCAGCAAGGCAGCCUUGGCGAAAAUAGAUACUCCCCCUCUUGAGAAAGGGUCCCUGAACAUGGAUAGAGUACCCUUAAAGGAAGGCCCCUGCCUCCCCAGAGCUGAUCAGGAGAGGGCGCCUGGGGGCUAGAGGGAGAGCCCUUCUUCCCAGCCCACAUUCCACAACCUCCCUUUGGAAGCACGGGUGUUCAGCCUUCAUUAGCUGACUCUUCUCUCCUGGUCUGAUUCAAUCUUCCCUGGUGAAUUUUCAAAGGUGCUUUCCUCUGCCAGUGAGCAACUUAGCUCAGGGCUAACUUAGCAGCGGAAGUCAGCUCCUUGGUGCCUAGGUUCUCUAUUGAGAGAAAAAGGACUGUCCCUCCAAGAAGUCCCCAGGGUGCCAGUUUAUCGACCUGUAAGGGUGCCCCAUCAGAGGCAGGCCUAAGGCUGGAAACAGUUUUUGCUUUUCAAAAGGUCCAGUUCCAUCAAAGCUGUGACAGAUACUGGCUCUUCUCCACACCCUCCUCAGACUCUAGACACAGCUUCCUCCGUGGGGUUACUGGGUACCUCCUCCUGCUUCCACUCUCUUGCCAUACAUAACCGGGUAUGAUUACCCAGGAGGCAGGCUUCAGAAGCCAGGUCCGUGAUGAGGACACAGAGGCCUGAGAGUAGAUAUGGCUAUGUCUAACCCUGUCCCUUGGAGUCAUGUCAUAAGACUUAUGGAUGGAGCCCUCCAGCAGUUCUGGCUUACAGUGGUUUGUCCCCCACUGGACUGCCAGCAUGAGUCCUAUCCCAGGGUCUUGCACAGUGUCUGACCAUGAGCUUAAUGCAAACUCACUGAAGGGGCAGCUGUCCCUGUCCUCACCAUCUUUUGAGGGUUAGGGGACAUGGCUGAAAGGGCAGGACUAGGCCUGGGCAGACAUGAGAACCUUUUGAUUUUAUUCAUGAUAUUCUCGGGCAAACUGCAUGCAAAUUUGCCAGUGGCCCAUUAUCCUAUUUUUCUUUAGCCACAUGGUUGACUGAGAACCAGAACUGUAACCUGGGUUCUGUGCUCAGGAAGCCUGAACUCUGGUGACGUAAGCUCCUUGAACUCUUUCUCCUAUCAACCAGCCAACAGGCUCAGUAGGGCUUAGAGAGCUGAUUGCACUAAGGCCGGAGAGACCUGUCCCUCUGGCUUCCACCCUGCAGUCUCCUCAGGGCUUCUCUACUUUGAUUUGCCUAAAACUGUUAUCAGUCUGCUGUAUCCUCCUCCUCUUCCUCUUCCUCCUCCUCCUCUUUCUCCUCUUUUUCUUCCUUCUCUUCACUCUUCUCUAAGAGCCCAAGGACCUGCCAGGCUAGAAGCUGCCUCUCUUUGCCUGGAAAUGUUCAGAAAAGGGCAACUAGAGAAAGAAAGCCCCUGGGCAAAAGAAAAUGCAUGCCUGACUUCUUUGUGGUUUCCUGCUCCAUGGAGCAGCAUCUGUCUCCUCCAGGGGAUCUCAAGCUGUUUGUUCAUGCUUUGGGGGCUUGAAAUGGAGGGUGUACAGGGUAGACUCAGACCACGGAGAACGCUACCUAGUGGCUUAGAGAGAGGGAAUCCAUCCUGUCUUCUGUGGCAAGCGCACUGUUGAUCUCAUUCUGGUCUGGAAGACAAUGUAUGGGAGGCUGAACAUCCUUCAGGACCUAGCUGUCUGGGUCAGUUACUUAGCCAGGAUGUACAAGGAUGUGCUCACAGAUCAAUCCCAAACACAUUUCCAUAUUGGGAGGGUCUAUUUGGAGCAGAAGCAACAGAUUGAAUCGCUUGAGGUUCCUUUGAACCUUCAGCAGCGCCUCCCACCAUGGUGGGUGGAGUCAGAUUGCCAUCCUGCUCUUCACCUCAUCACACAGCCUUGGUCCUACAAGCAUGCAGGCUGGUGAGAGCAAAUACCUUAGCAUCUCCCUAAUGCCCCAUUACUCUGCCACCAUGGGCUCAGACAGGUCUGCUGGCCUUGAAGUACCCCCAGAAGACACAUAGGUCUAGAAGAACCUCUGAAAAUUACUUCUAUUGUGGACCCAUGAAUCUUGACGGAAACAUGGGGUUGGUUAAUUGAACUUUGAAAGACCUCCACACAAGCCUCCCAUUUAUUAUGGGCCCACUGGGUGUCCCAUGUAGAUCUGGAGAAUGGUUGUGUGCAUGGGGCUGUCUCUGGGAACACUGAGCCCCUGGCCCCUGUGUAUUCUAUGGUUGGGCCAAGCUGAAUGUAUCCUGACCUUUCUCUGACUCUCCUUUUCUUGUCUUUAGCUUGAACCAUUGUCAAUCCCAAGACCCAGAAGCAUUCCGAAGCUCUUUGAGGAGGUGUUAUAAGAGGGAAUCCCUAAAAAAUGUGUAUUUUCCCAGUGACAUGGCUUCGAUUCUAGCUCAACCUGGGUUCUCCAGUUUGUGCAGAGUUGAAGAAAGAGUGCCCCACCUGCCCUCAGUGUCGGCUUUCCCAAUGGGCAGAGGGCCCCUCUGGGAAGGGCUGAAGGUCAGGGACACUGUAGAUCUCUAUUCUGGGCCCUCUCCCUCCCUCCCUCCCUUCCUCCUCUGCUUCCCUGGCACCCACAAGUGCUACUUCAGCCCAGGGUUCUCAGCACAUUCUUGUGCUUUUAUGUUUCCCCUCCCCCCACCCCCACUCCACUCCCUUUAUUCUCUUCCCCUAUCACACUUCCCUCUAGUACAGGGGGUGGGAAAGCCCCAAGAAAGUCUCAGUUUCCUUAGCUGUAACUAUGUGUUGACAUUACUGGAUAUAAUUAAUAGACGCCGGGUACAUACACAAGAGUUUCCACUCAGAAAAGAUAAGCUCCUUUUACCUAUGAGAGAUGUUUUAACAUUUCCAUGUCCCCUCACCUGCAUCUCCUUCAUUCGUUUCCUCUGGGCAUCUCUGCUCUGCCUUGACCUACCAUCCUGCCCCUGCAUUUGUCCCCCCACCUGCUUUUUCUUCCCUCUCUUUUUUGGCCCCGCAUACUCUCCCCCAGCGCCUGCCACGGACCACAGCGUUACCCUGACAAGGGCAGGGCAGGGCAGGGCAGGGCUGAUGGCAGUCUCAGCUUCUCAUUAGAGGCCCAAGAAUGUGUGGAGUCAUGAGGACAAUGAGAGUCAGCCACAGGAAGAAUGGGGCCUCUGUCAAAUGAGAAGUUUCCCAAAUCCUGGCCUUAGCUGAACGGAACACCUGAGGGUUAAGCAAAGUGUACUCACUCUCCACCUAAGGCGCCGGAGACAGGCAGCCAGAGCUUUUUACAAACCUACGUUUAUUUAUUUUGUGAGCAUGCGUGCUUGUGGGCAUAUGAUCCAUAACGCACACGUGGAGGUCAGAGGACAAUCUGAGGACCAAAGUCAGGCAUCGGGCUUGGUGGCAAACAGCUUUAACCACUGAGCCUUCACACUGCUUCUGGUGUGGCCUCAUGAGUCAUUUACCCUGGGAAUUCUUAGAAUUUGGGAGAGACGGGAGCCAGACCUGAGGAUGUGUUGAGGCCGGGACAAGGAGUCUAUACAGUGGCCUGUGUGUACACAGAAUGCAUCUUGGGCCACCUGGGCUCAGGCUCCAUUCCUAGCAGAGCUGACAGCUUAGGGGUGAACUCAGAGGGAAGAAACAGUGGAAAUGGCACCUGUGAGAAAGGUUGAGGCCUUGCAUUCUCGCUGAACUGUGUCCUUGUACUGCCUUAGGGACAGAGGAAGCGGCCCCAGGAGGCAGGGUUUUCCUGGCUAAAGGAGGUGGGGCCCAUUUGACCUGCCUUCCCUCCCUCAGCCAGGCCCGAACCAGAUGCAUUGCCAUCUCCACCCCACAAGAUUUUUGGUCCCAGAAACAGCUUCAGGGACCCCCCCACCCCAUUCCCGGGCUUUCUUGGGGCUUGUCAGGUGUGUGCUAGGUCUGGCAGUCAGGACAUAUUCCAGAAAUUAAAAGCCACACUUGAGUUGCCUGAAGAAGGGACAGGACUGAGCAGUGCUGACCUGUGGUUCUGGGACAGGGGAAUGACAGGAACAGGGUGUGUGUGUUGGGGGGAGUGAGAAGGGAAAGGGCCUGCAGGGAGCUGCCUCGGGUCUCUUGCCAAAAAUUAAACCAUUAAAAAAAAAAAAAAACUGGAGGGGAGCGGCAGGGGAAGGAAGGAGAAAAAGGAGAUGGGAGAGGAGGGAGGGGACCAAACACCCCCUCCACACCAAUAGCCCGGCAGGGAAUGUGAGUAAUACCCGUCUGGUUCAGAGGGAGUGAGAUCAAAAGCUAGUAGAUACAAGAGGUUUGUGCUUCACCGACCAGACAGCCAGAGGCUCAAUGAGACCUUUGUUAACCCAAGCCCAAGUCAGAAUUGAAGGAAUACCUGACUACCCACCCGCCCCCACCAGCCUGGUAGGAGGAGAGGCAGGUCAUCAGAGAGUCAACGCAAGUUGGGCACAGCUAGGCCUAGCCAAGAGUGGGUGGAGGAGUGGGGAGGCCUGGGUUUGGAGGGAGCUGAGGAGUGAACCGCUGCCAGGGAGGCAGGAAGUGGCUCUUGUGGAAUUAUAAAGGGAACUUCGGGGGGGGGGGGAAGCGGGGGCUUCACCUGGUGAACCUGCCAUCCCAGGCCCUUGGUUUCUUUCAGGGGGACUGGACAUUUGGCCUCAAGCACACAGCUUUCUGUAGGUCUGGGAUUCUGGGGGCAGAGAAAAGGACAGGCUACAGAAGUAAGGAUUGGUGAGCCAAGAGUUCAAGUGUGGAACUGGUGGGUGCUCUCCUGUUUGACAUUCAGGUAGGAUGAGUCUAGGGUGUGUGUGUGUGUGUUGUACUGUUGGUGUCCAGUGGGAGUUCAAUUAGGAGGGUGGUGGCCUCACCAUGCUGUUUCAGAGAGCCUCUGGCACACCUGGCACAGGUUGGGGCUAGGACUAAAGUAGGGUGCUAGCUACUUCUUGAAAGAGAAAUGUUCUGAGCCGGACCCCGCCCAUUGAAGGUCCCUGGGAGAGAUGGAUCCAGGUUGAGUCUGGAGGUCUGAGUUCCCCUGAGGCUUCCCUGGUUUUAGGUGCUUUGGGGGCACAGAUGCUUACAGCUGACCCACAGUAGGAGAGGGGACAGGAAAUUCACCUGUAUUUAGAAUAUACUUUCCUUAGGGUCCUGAGACCUUGAUGAGUCCUCUCCCCCAGCUCACCAGAUGGAUUGCUCAAAGGUGGCUGCCCUUAGCUGGUGGGGAUUUCAGCCCUGGCAGGCCCUUUCUCAAACUACUAAGUCUAGAGCAGCGUUUCCCAACCUGUGGGUCAUAGGUCGCCUAUCAUACCAGUAGCAAAAUUGCAGUUACAAAGUAGUAGUGAAAAAUAAUUUUAUGGUUGGGGGUCACCACAAGAGGGGGAACUGUAUUAAAGGGUUUCAGCUUUAGGAAGUUUGAGAACCACUGGUUUAGAAAAUGGUGUAACUCCCUGCACCAAUUUGGGAAGCUUGGGACACCCAAAACUGGGCGGGGUGUGUGGGGGAGCUCAACUCUGGGUCCUCUAAGCAAAGCAUACUGCAGUAAUGAAAGGGUUAAUUACGCCUUUUGUGCCCUCCCCGCCCCAAGGAGCCCACUAUGGGGUCUGGGCGUCUUGAAAGGAUUGCCCUUAUUUGCUAGAGGAGAGGGCAGUUAGGGACCUGGGAGGGGGCUGGAUGCUAAUUAGAGGAAUCAGAGGAGGUCCUUUAUGGCCAGGAAGCCGCACCUCCCUGUACCCACCACGAGGGCCAUUGUGUGAGGCCUUUGAAGGACUGGACUGGAAACUCAUUACUGCUGUAGCUUUAGUGUUCUUGGGGCCCACCAGGUGGUGGGAGACGGUGAGAGAAUGCGUUCCGUGGGGGGAGGCCAGGUCGGGAGGAGGGAGGUGUGAGAUUCCCCAGUUUCCUGCUUUUUUAAGAUUGCUGCCACUGGACCCCUCCGCUCUGCUGUGGCCUAUGGCUUUUCAUUCCUAUGUGAUUGCUGCUCCGAACUCAUGUAGGGCUAAAAGCCAUGGGCUACAGUGAGGGGCAAGCUCCUGCACAGCUACACAUCCCUAAGGACCAGCCACAGAGGGCACCAGAGGGAGGGGCCGCCAUUGCUAGGAACUCCUGGUUUGGGGCUAGGCUGUGUGAUCUUAGCCACAUGUCACUUAUCUCUCUGUCAGGUCCCUUCGUUCUGAAGGGUUAGGCUGAUGAGCCUACUGGGUGAGAUAUAAGGUCUUAUUUAGGGCUUUUUCCUCUUCCCAAGUUUUUGAGGCCUGGCUUGGAGAUGUAGGGCUGGUAUCAGCCACGGUGUCUUGGACCUCUCUUCUGUCCAGCCAUAAUCUGCUUCUUGGUCUUGGUCUUCCUCCUCCCUCUGUGCAGCUCCAGAUCCUACUUGCUCUGGUCCACCGGGGCUCUUUCGAGACCGAAAUGAGAAUUCAGGCCAGCUACGCUGGUGGUGCGGUAGCAGCGGUGUGUUCCAGAAUAAAUCUAGGAAGACCAUAGCUCACCUGGGUACCAUGCUGGAGCCCUGAGUCCCAGCUUCCGGCCCUUACCCUGAGGACCUGUGCCUUUCCUGUUCACUCGGGCUGGGACCUCGGCCUUCCCUGCAUCUUCCACCAACCUGGUUCUAUUCCCACUCUGAAACCGGCAUGACUCUGUCCCUUCAAUCCUGAAAAACUUCACAGAUGGAGAUGAAACACGAAGUUUGGCUGGAAUGGCAAGGGAAUCACCCCACCUACACUGGGCUCCCCCAUUCCAGCUCCAGCUUGCCUGACAUAGACCACUGAGGGAGCAUGGCACGCCGUGUAUGUUCUUCAGCAUCGGAAGGCAGCUUACUUCCUUGUCUAAUUUAGGUGGAGUUUUCCUAUCCCCAAUUAGCAUUUACCAAGUGCCUACCACAUACCACAGCUCUAGCCUACUUGCCUAGAUUGCCGUUUAGUCUCCAAGACAGCCCUAUUUAUUAUUAGCCCAUUUUAUUUAUGGGAAAUCUAAAACACAAGGUCAGCUGGAAAACUGCCCUGGCGCAUAUGGCUAAUAAGAUGCGGAGCUGGGAAUCGAACCCAGAUUCUCCGUGCCAGAACCCACCCCAUGGUCCUACGCCGUGCUCUCAGGAAUCAAAGCAGUGUGUCGGGAAUGCCCAGGGUCUGGGCAGUGCUGUGUGCAUGAGGGCUUUUUCCGCAGAGGCCCGUGGGAGGAUGCGUUGCCUUGAAUUUUACCCAGUUCCACCGCUUGUUAGAUAUGCCUGAUUUUCUUUAUCCAAGGUGGGCAGAGGGGUAAGUCAGAACAACAGAAGGAAAGCAUAUGCCCACACCAGCUGGAGUUUAACUGUGGCUGAGUCAGGCUACUUAUCCACGUGGCUAGGUUUGGAAAGAGUCAGGGGUGCCUAGCCCAUGACUCAGCCCCCUCUCUGGAGUUGGCCAUGGUUUGGUUUUUUUUUUGUUUUUGUUUUGUUUCUUGUUUUUAUUCUGCUCUAGGAACCUAUUGUUUUCACUUCUCUCUGCCUGCUGCCAGUUUCCUAAUUGGAACGCUAGGGCAGAAGACUCACCUCCCCUGCCCCCUGCCUCUGGGCCUGCCUCAGGAAUCCUGUUUCACAGUUUGUCCAGGAAAGCCUCAGCAUCGAGUAGGGGGACAAGUGAACGUGAAUGGGAACGGCUUCAAAGGAAGAUUCUACCUCCUGUGAAGGCACUUAGUAGGACUGCACAAUAAAUCUUAAGGGAAGAAAUGGUGACCUGGGGGGGGGGGGAAGGUGAGAGAUAGCCCCCUUCUAGCCUGGGGCUAGGGGGUGGGCGCUGUGCUGGGAUAGCAGGCUCCUCUGCAGUCCCCGCACCUUGCCAUUAUGGGUGGGGCUGGCUUGGAGAAGAUCCGCAAUGGCGCAUCUCCCAUAAUUGUUGAGAUCCUCCGAAUAGGCAAGCUGGCCUCAUGCCCUCUUUCCCUGAGGAUUCACAGAGCAGCCCUGCGUCUCUCCUGUGCCUGCCUGCAGACAGCUGAAACCAAAAAUAUCAUAACUGAGCAAUCUAGUCUCCUACAGUAUCAGCUCGACUCAGCCUGAGGCUCCCCUAGGGAGACGGGUCCGUGUUUAACGACACUGAGAACCGGGCGAUUUUCUUUGGUGGUAUUUGUCCGUUUCUAGUGGAAAUGGAAUUUGAUGGCUAAGCUUCCUUUCUAAAUGCAAAGAAGAUUGGAAAGAUUGCUGGCUGGUUCCCUCUUUUUAGGGGAUAAGACCUUCUACGUCAGGUUCCUGGCUCCUCCUCUCCAGCCAGGAGUCAGCGUCCUGCAUCUUGACUGUUGACUGCGGGGCCUCAAGAAUCAAGCGGACAUUCCGCCCACCCGCACUGGAUCCUGGAACCUGCAUGAAAUGACACGUCCAGGGAGUGUUUUAAGCUUGUUUCCCGUUCUUGAGCCGCUGCUGUGUGCGUCUGAGGUGAGGCAGAAGGCUUGGAACAACACAGGUUUCAGGAAAGGAGAAGCUGAGGUUUGGUGAUGGAACCCGUUUACUCCAAUGGUAGGACAGGCAGCAGCCUCAGGGAGCCCGGAGGCUUCUGGGAAUGAUAACCCCAGCUUACUUCUGUCUCUCUCUCUCUCUGCAUCUCUCCCAUUCUUCUACCCUGUCUUUCCCUACAGACAUCUGUUGAGCAUUCCCCCGCCCGGCCCAGGGCAUGCCCCAGUUCACUUUCGCCUGUUUCUGUGGUCUUCACGGCUUCUGCAAGAUGAAGAGGAAGAAGGACGAAGUUCACAGAGAGAGGGAGACAGUGGUGUGAGCAGAACCAGGGCCUCCCUUGUCAGCUCCCCGUGGAUCUGAGCCUGAGGCUGCUGUGGUGCUCAGAGCGUGUGUCUUCCAUCUUUAUUUAACUGGUACCUGACCAACAACCUGAGGACAUCCGCCUUCUUGUGCCCACCCCUAUUAGCUACCAAUCUUUUGUGCUCCUGGAGAGGCCUCAGCUACACAAGGGUUUCCCCAGGAUCUGCCACUUGCCUUCUGGAGACUGGACAGCCUCCCUAGGAUCAAGGAAUGAAACUUUGGGGCUCUUCUCAGGGGACCCCUCCCAUGAAGCUUAUGCAGCCUUGGGAGAGGAAAGCAGUUGCUAAACAGCAAAGUAACUGUUUUUGCAGACUUUGGAGGGUUUGAUGUAUGCGACACCACCAUCAAACACAAGAUGGAGUCUAGGCUGGGGCUCCAGGGUCUUAGCCCUUUCUUUGCAUCCUCUUGGGCCAGGUGGGCCAGGACUGAGAUGGAGGACCGAAUCAGACAUUCGAAGGGUCAGACAGUAGAAGGCUCUUCUGUGUGUCUGGCCCUGACCUACCAGUUUCAUGAAGCCCUCAGUUCUUUGUCAGCACACAGAUGUGGGGAGACCUUUCCUCAGGCACUAAGCCCCUCAGGGACUAUCCCUAGAGCUCGGCCACACCACUGAUCCCAUUUUGUUUACUCACACCCUGCCUCGUUCCCUUCUGUCCUUGGGAAGCUGUUGGCAUAGCGCACCUUCUGAGCACAGGGAAUUCUAGGACUGUCCUAGACUUUCCCCUUCUUCUUCCCAGUUCCGUGUCACCUCCUUCUUCAGGAGCUUGUGGCCAUUUCUAGGAGUUCAGAAGCAAAAGCGUUUCCUUCCUUUCCCUUCCUCCCUCUCUCCUUCCUUCCCUGGCUUUGUCAUUGUGCUUGUGUCUCUUAGGUGCUAGAGGAAGAGGUGGAGAUUAUGAACCAACUCUUAGCAGCAGAGAGCAGCUUCUGGUCUGCUAGCCUGCCGCCCUCCUCACUGGGACAAGCAGUUCUGCACACAAGGGAGAUGUCACAUUCCCACCACCGUCAGGGUCAAAGAUGGAGGAAGGUCUGGACUCAGCGAGAGACUCUGAGCAAACGGGAAAGGGUGUUUCUUGGGCUUUCUGCAGAUUUGCUGGGAUCAAGGUUGUCUUGGUGGAGCCUGAGCUGCUAGCUUCUCUGCUAUUCUCCACUGGCUUUUCGCCUCUGCCUUCCCACCUGAACCACCUACUGUCUGUUAUUUGCUUUUAUAUUCAAAGAUUUAUAAACAAAUCCUUCCCUCAGGGAAAUAGCAAGCUUCUGCAGUAAAGGCCAGUGGAGGUCACAAGAAUAAAGCAAACUUUCCAGAUUCUUUGUCCUCUGAGAUGACGGAGGCCUUGGGUGAGGCAGAAAUGGCAGAAAAGCUUCAGGGGGCUAACUUUGCUACAGAAACCAGAGAUUCCGCCGCCCCCCCCCCCUACUCUCCAGCAUUUCUAACUGCAGGCUGCCUUCAAGGCUGCAAUCAGAGAAGUCUCUCUGGAACUGGAGGGUGAAAUCAUAUCCCUGUCACUAAGAAGCGUCGGGUGUUAUGUCCCAACCACAUAGGCUCACCCAGAGGACAGGUCAGAUAAUGGAGAACUAAGGUCUGGGAGGGGGCAGCAAAGGGCAGCACGCCUGUGCUUACUUCCCAGGCUUUGGCAGGGAGGCCGCCCCAGGGGUUGGCAGGAAGCUGACUCAGGGAGCUGCUUCCCCCACAGGCAUGUCCUUGGUAUGGUAGAGACACUAGAUAUCUUGAGCCCUUGCUAUAGGAACAUGGGAGGUUCAAGGUUUUUUAAGUGUUGGUCCCACCACUGCUUGCAGACCCAAUGUCCUUGCUCCCUUCGUCCAGGGUAAGCUGUGUAGCCACACUGCAGCAGGCCUGGCCUGAGCAGGAGGGAGGAACUGCAGCGUUGUCUUGACUGUUGGAGAUGGGGAUUCUGUUCUCAGCAUCUAGGAAGCAGCUGGAAACCUGUUUUCAGUUCUGCAUCUGGUGGGUUCAGUCAAUUUUGUAUUAUCUGUUUAAAGUCCCUUCCACUCUGCCUGAGGGAAGCCCAGCCCAUGGAUCCUUUUAGGAUCUAUUUCAGUGGCCCUGUACUCUUAGGGUGAGGCAGGUGUGCAUACCUUCCAUUCUUACAGCUUGACACUCAUCCUUAGAGGGUGGAGAUCCUGUUCCAACUUAAACAGGGAUUCCACCUCUUGGGCUACAGAACUAGUCAGUGAGAGUGGUGUAUAGAUGGCUUUUGGGGUCACUGGGACUUGAGUGUCUUCUAAGACUCUGGUCCAGGAUGCCCAAGGGCUUCUUGUCUCAGGUGAAAGAUAGUUAAUCAGAAUGUCAUUUCCUGUCUCUACUCCUAAGGGAGGCAGGCAUUUUGAAUGUAUAGAUCCAUAGAAAUCAAUAGGGAAAUUGCUAUUUUUUUAAGAAGAGAAUCUUAAAAAGCAAUAAUUUAACUGAAGUAGACGUGCAAUGUAAGGAACCCUGAGCCAAGAGCAGGUCUCCUGGGUUCGGGCUGUGCUUGAGUGCCAGUGAUACUGUGACAUUGGAUGAGUCAGGCCUCAUUUCUGGGACUGGUUUCUUCAGCUAUAAAGGGGAUUGCACUGGUCUCCACUGAGGCCAGUUCUUUGUGGAAUGUCAGGCAUCCUAUGCCCCAGAGGAUGUGUUCUGAGUAACAGGCAGAUCUGAAGUGGUAGAAUGUGCGGGGAAGCCUAGAUCAGAGCUUCUACAAUGUUCCUCCAGGGAGGGCUGGGACAUCUUCCCUCCCUCCUGGAUAGACUCAAGGGGGUCGUCUGUAGCUGGCACUGACUUCAGGCCCUGACAGUUGCCGUCUUUGGAGUCUACUAUGGCUCAGUUGCUAAAGAGAUUCAGAAGGGCCUGACUCCUGCUUGGGUUCACUUUGUACAGUGGGCCAUCGCUAAGAUGAUGGAACCAUUCUCCCCCACUCCUCCAAUGGGAUUUGUACAGCGGUGACUGCAUGGGAGGUGGUGCUGUCUGCAUGGGACAGUACAGAUUUCCUCUUCCCCUGUCACUCCACCGGCACUGACUCCGAUUGACCGAAGAAACUGCUUCCUCUUUCCCAAGGAUGGGUCCUACACCUGCCCUCCCUACCCCACGUGAAAGGCACCUUGUGUUGGAUGUAGCCAGACAUGGCCGAAGCUUAGAGAUGGACCCUUGGACCCUUUUUCCCCAACCAAAGAGGCAGGCUUUCACCCAGAAAGGGAGUCUGGACUGCUGCAUCCAAUAGUCUCGUAGCUGCUGCUCCAGGAGGUCCACCAUUCACCCUGAAGGUUGCUGCUGUGCCUGGCAAGUCAUUGAGCUGAGUGCACCUCAGGACCCAGAGGUUCCCUUUCUAGGGAAAAACUGCUGCAUCUUCAGUACACAAGGAAGACCGGUCAUAGCUACCACUUCUGUCACCUGGUCCUGAUGCGAGCCUUCAGCGUGCAAUAUGUGCUGCUAACCAGUCUAACACCAGGAUGCCUGGCUUGUCAGAACAAGUCCCCCAUAACCACUAGAACCCCCAGACCAGCUAGAUUUGGUAGGUACCCACCAUGAAUGCUAGGGUUACUGCACAGGCCCCUUCUCUAGAUUCUUGUGUGAAACCAUUGGCUCCUCAACAAGCAGAAAGGGAAGGCAGGAGAGCAGACCAUCCACAAGUGGAGUGAGCCAGGAGCUGCUCAAAGCAUUUACACCAAAGAAAACAUUUCAGAAGCCAGGGACUCUGUAACUCGAGCCCUGGCAGAAGGAGCCUGGGUCUGAAACCCAAGGGGUUUCCUAGUGGGCUUCUGGUCAGCUCCCUUCCCUGCAGGAGCAAUCUCCUCCCUCAGUCCAUUCCUGCAUUCCCUCUGAGGGGCGGGAGGAAUGCCAGCAGGGGAGAUGGCAGGACCUAGACACAUCCUCAGGACUCUCCCAGCCUCCCUUGCCAUGGCAACGCUGCUAUUUUUAUCCUGUUGUUCAUGAUGCUCAAAGCUCUGACUUUCUCUGUUCCAGAGAGCCCAGCUGCCUUCUGCCCCCAUCCCUUAGCAUAGCACCUUCUCGAAGAGGCAAAGGGAUAAGGAAGAAAGGGGGACACAUUUAAGUCAUUCCUUCACUAGAGGGACCUCUUUGGUUUGCUGGCUUAAAUAACCAGUUUUGUGUUUUCUGAGAGGUCUGAACUAUGAUCGAGUAGGAAGGGCCACUGCUCGGGGUGCCUUCCCAGGGAGCCCUGACAUGCACUUCUGCCUCUUUUGGGAACACCUGAGGUUCUGAGGAAUGUCCUGUUGGCAUAAGCAAUUCAUAAAGUACUCUGCUUGGCUAAUUAGCAGUCAGAUAACUUGAUGUUGCUGUGGAAUCUAAGCUACUUCUCCUCUAUCCCUCUACCAAGAAGCCAGGACAUAUGCGCUUGCAUCUUUGUCCAAUCAUUCUAUCCAAAGCAAGGCAGCAUAUAUAUCAUCCCCAGGCUAGAAAGCAGACUCCCUCCAGUUUAGCCAUAUUCCGUUGAGGUCCCACCUCCAUACGCCUGCAAGGGGCUAAGGAUGAAGCCCAGGGCCACAGAACCACUAGGCAAAUGCUCUCCCACUGAGUUCCAUCUCUAGCCUGGAGCACAUUGUGAUUUUGAAGGCUGCAGUUAGUGAAAGGCAUUCUUUAGCUGUUCUUUCUGCCACCCUUCCAUGGCCCAGCCUUUACCUGUCUUCCUGUGUCCCAACUUCCACUACACUGGCAGGGAAUCCCUGAGAAUCACUGGUGCUAAUGGUCUCCAUCUAUACUCCCCUUUGUUGAUCUGUGGGGUGUGAACUCAGCAUGUGGGGUGGCUGGGCUAUGGGGUACAUUCUAUGUAUAUCCCCAACACCUCUACCCUGGAAGCAGGUCCGGAUCUUAACCCAGCAAAACACCAAUCUACAUCUUGUUAACCUUUGCUUCGGUUGAGUUGGCUCCUGAAUGGUUGUUUUCCUAGGGUGGCUGAGACCCAUUUACUAAGCCUCGUUGGUUUUAUUUUGGCUCUAGCUGCACAGUUUCCGAAAUCUAUGCAUCUGGAGUAAGCAUUUUCUGGUCGCCACUGAAAAGCAUGCUGGCAGAUUCUGCUCUGAUAAUUGCUGUAAUAAACACACUUUAUUACGUCC
Long non-coding RNA from Mus musculus (house mouse), 14496 nucleotides. RefSeq annotates it as predicted gene, 29695. Lineage: Eukaryota; Metazoa; Chordata; Mammalia; Rodentia; Muridae. The transcript has 2 exons. The record is from RefSeq and is marked validated.